AUGCAGGCCAAGUGGCUAGCAAUUGCGAUAGUGCAUACUGAUAAGGGAUUCAGUCCUUCAGCUCUAUAUGCGGAUAUGAGGUCUGCUUGGAACUCUGCGAAGGAGGCGCGCUGGCGUAUGAUCGAUGCCAAUCUGUUCACGGUGCAGUUUGGCUGCCUCGGCGAUUGGAAUACAACGAUGACAAACGGGCCUUGGCUGUUCAGGAAUCAAGCAGUGAUUCUGAAAGAGUAUGAUGGGUACACUAACCCUAGGACAGUGGUGCUAGACAAGGUGGCUGUUUGGGCAAGGAUCCUUGGAUUACCUGACAACUAUCUUUAUGAACCAGUGAUCAAAGGUAUGUGUCGAAAGAUGGGAGUGAUUUCAGAGGUGCAAAUUAAGUUACGUGUUGGGUAUGUAUGUGCGUUUGUGCGUGUAAGAGUAAACCUGGACAUCAAUAAGAAGCUAGAACGCUUUGUCUCGAUAACUAGAGAAGGGAAGAAAGAUUGGUAUAUGGUCAAAUACGAAAAGAUGCCUGUUUUCUGUAAUCAUUGUGGCUUAUUGGGGCACUGGUUCGAGGAGUGUGGAACGGGUGAACACGAUGUGGCAAAGUUUGAAUGGGGAGAGUUCAUCUUGGCCGACAAAUGGAGAGGUAGAGGAGGCAGCCGUGGCCCGGGCAGAGGUGCAGGCAGAGGGAGAGGAGGAACAACUUCUGGCAGAGGUUUUGGGAGAGGAGCGCCGAUGCGUUCGGAGACACAGAUUGCAGAUGGUUUUCGCAGACUAGCUGGAGGUAUAAUAGCGUGUAUAACUCUGAGCUAA
Molecule: ribosomal RNA, 795 nt
Filed under: Triticum aestivum (bread wheat)
Lineage: Eukaryota; Viridiplantae; Streptophyta; Magnoliopsida; Poales; Poaceae
Description: partial small subunit ribosomal RNA
Source: RNAcentral